UAAUAAUAAUCUGAAGACGACAUGUUGCCCCUCCUCUUUGAACCCGGGCUUGGGACCGGCUGUGUCGAAUAGACAUAAACGACACAGGCAGAGUUGUCAGGUGUCGUUUUAAGCUCUUCAAAAAUAAUGGAAGGCCUUAAAAUGACAAUAAAUCUUCAAUUGAUUAUAUUUUUAAUUUUGGAUGGGCUCUCCACUGAUCAUCUGAAGAGCGAGAGCAAGAAGGCCGCCAUUGACAGACCAAACACCGACCAAAUUAUCCAGCACAAACUCCCCGGAAGGAAGGAGAUCGCCAUUAGGUAGAACAUCAUCGAGGAAUUGAGAAGGCGGAAUCUGUGGAGAGACGAGCAAUCCUACGGCCGCCUGAAAAGUGAGACUCAAAUUCCUCUCCCCGACGCUCCUGGAACGGUUCGCCCUUGGAAUUGGAUAGCUCUGGAAUUCAUUAACCACGUACAAUGGAAGUGUGCGAUGUUGCAGUGCGUCGAAUCUCCUUCGAUUGAGCGCCAUUGCGUGAAUAAAUCUGAUCGGGAUAAAGCUUGUUUUAUGACAUUACGAAAGGAAAAUGGAGGAGGAUCUGGAGGAGGAGGAGGUGAAUUGGAAGCCAUGGCUGUGCAAGAGGAUUCUCCAGAUGGGCAGCAUGUCCUGAGUCCGGGAUCUCGACUAUUUCAUGGAGGGAAACAACUGGGUCAUCCUUGAUCUUCCUGCCCAUAUCAAUUUGAGA
Molecule: long non-coding RNA, 718 nt
Organism: Cucurbita moschata (crookneck pumpkin)
Lineage: Eukaryota; Viridiplantae; Streptophyta; Magnoliopsida; Cucurbitales; Cucurbitaceae
Exons: 4
Source: RefSeq, a predicted model, not a curated record